Molecule: long non-coding RNA, 1249 nt
Filed under: Zalophus californianus (California sea lion)
Lineage: Eukaryota; Metazoa; Chordata; Mammalia; Carnivora; Otariidae
Description: lncRNA (ENSZCAG00015022286.1)
Source: RNAcentral
GAAAGGUGGAAGAUUAUAUAAGUAUGAUUUGCUUUUAGGUUUUUUGUUUUUUUUAAACCUCCUCCCCUCCCUUCCCCUUCUCCUUCCACUUUUCUCUAUCACCACCCUCCUUGGAGUUAAAGAGGAGAGCCAAGGAAAGGACAGCCACAGGCAGACAAAGGGGGCCCGGACUGCUGCCCUAUGGUCUCAGCAAUAAAAGAAAAAUUGGCCCAAGGUCAUGCUUUGGGUGAAGACAAGGUAGUGGCUCGGCGUCUUGGUUAGAAACCAGGACUGGAAGAGUCGCCCAGAGAAGUGGGCCCCAGGGCAAACCGGCUGUGGGUGGGGGGAGCCAGCUCCAGCCUGACUACGAAUCCCAUUCCAACAGCACUCCCUUCCCACUGGGGAGGCGGCCUUCCGUCCCCGGCCCCUGCCGGGAGGUGGAGGCUGACCCCAUGUGAAAGGCUCAGCGAUCCAGAGUCGGGCGACACGCAGGUUCUGGCGGAAAGUUGGCAGCCACCGCCCUCUCUCCCGGCUCCCUCCCCGACACCCCCCCGCCCCCCGCGCCUCUCCGGGCGCUACGGCGGGGGUGGGGGUGGGGGGAACUGGCCUAGUGUUCUGGAACAGCUGCAGCCGGCACUGGGCCCGCCUGGAAUGCGGGGACAAGCUGCGCACCAGGACUUUUAUGGAAACUUGCUGGUGGAGACGGCGGCGGCGGCGGCGGCGGCCAGAGGGCUCCCAGCGGCCGGAGCGGCAGCGGCAGCGGCCGGAGCGCCCAGACCCCCGCCCACACCCAGGCGCAGGACGCGCACAGCCUCUCCGCGCGCAACGAGGACACUCGCUUGUCGCCGGCUCCUGGCGGGAAUUUUUUCUUGGGUUGCCGGAUCUCUGGGAAGCCGUGUGUGCAAGCCCCGGGUGCAGUAUCUGCCAUCCAACACUGGAGUAUGAUGCAGCAGUCCCCUGAUGUCCGUAUGAGGCAAGUCUGAAGCCGUGAUAGGAUGGAGAGUCUGGACCCGGCAUCAGGGACCUGCACUUGAAAUGUUGUAGAUAUAUUUGGGUCAGCAAUCCUUCUCUUAAAUAAUGUGAUCAUGGCAAUGAGAAGAGGUUAACAUUCAUUGACACUAAUUGCUCAUGUCAAUUGGAGCUGGAAGAGACCAUGUAUACUAACUAAAACAUUUUAACUGGUGGGAUUUCAGAAAGCGUAGGGUAGGUAUUUCUGGGGAAGAAAUCUUUCGUAGGAACUCUUAAAAUACUCCUCAUCUCUCUCCACCCU